UAGGGAAUCUUCCACAAUGGACGAAAGUCUGAUGGAGCAACGCCGCGUGAGUGAAGAAGGUUUUCGGAUCGUAAAGCUCUGUUGUUGGUGAAGAAGGAUAGAGGCAGUAACUGGUCUUUAUUUGACGGUAAUCAACCAGAAAGUCACGGCUAACUACGUGCCAGCAGCCGCGGUAAUACGUAGGUGGCAAGCGUUGUCCGGAUUUAUUGGGCGUAAAGCGAGCGCAGGCGGAAUGAUAAGUCUGAUGUGAAAGCCCACGGCUCAACCGUGGAACUGCAUCGGAAACUGUCAUUCUUGAGUGCAGAAGAGGAGAGUGGAACUCCAUGUGUAGCGGUGGAAUGCGUAGAUAUAUGGAAGAACACCAGUGGCGAAGGCGGCUCUCUGGUCUGCAACUGACGCUGAGGCUCGAAAGCAUGGGUAGCGAACAGGAUUAGAUACCCUGGUAGUCCAUGCCGUAAACGGUGAGCGCUAGGUGUUGGGGACUUUCCGGUCCUCAGUGCCGCAGCAAACGCAUUAAGCGCUCCGCCUGGGGAGUACGACCGCAAGGUUGA
This 551-nucleotide ribosomal RNA is filed under the name uncultured bacterium. RNAcentral describes it as "partial 16S ribosomal RNA". It matches the Rfam family "Bacterial small subunit ribosomal RNA", at positions 355 to 897 of the family's 1533-position model. The record is from RNAcentral.